UACGGGAGGCAGCAGUGGGGAAUAUUGCACAAUGGGCGCAAGCCUGAUGCAGCCAUGCCGCGUGUAUGAAAAAGGCCUUCGGGUUGUAAAGUACUUUCAGUCGUGAGGAAGGUGUUAAGGUUAAUAACCUUAGCAAUUGACGUUAGCGACAGAAGAAGCACCGGCUAACUCCGUGCCAGCAGCCGCGGUAAUACGGAGGGUGCGAGCGUUAAUCGGAAUUACUGGGCGUAAAGGGCACGCAGGCGGUUAAUUAAGUUGGAUGUGAAAUCCCCGGGCUUAACCUGGGAAUGGCAUUCAAGACUGGUUAGCUAGAGUCUUGUAGAGGGGGUUAGAAUUCCAUGUGUAGCGGUGAAAUGCGUAGAGAUGUGGAGGAUACCGGUGGCGAAGGCGGCCCCUGGACAAAGACUGACGCUCAUGUGCGAAAGCUGGGGAGCAAACGAGGAUUAGAUACCCG
RNAcentral lists this ribosomal RNA (454 nucleotides) under uncultured bacterium. RNAcentral's name for it is "bacterial SSU rRNA". It matches the Rfam family "Bacterial small subunit ribosomal RNA", at positions 340 to 789 of the family's 1533-position model. The record is from RNAcentral.